CACAGUAGGGAAUCUUAGACAAUGGGGGCAACCCUGAUCUAGCCAUGCCGCGUGUGUGAUGAAGGCCCUAGGGUCGUAAAGCACUUUCGCCAGAGAUGAUAAUGACAGUAUCUGGUAAAGAAACCCCGGCUAACUCCGUGCCAGCAGCCGCGGUAAUACGGAGGGGGUUAGCGUUGUUCGGAAUUACUGGGCGUAAAGCGCACGUAGGCGGAUUAGUAAGUUAGAGGUGAAAUCCCAGGGCUCAACCCUGGAACUGCCUUUAAUACUGCUAGUCUUGAGUUCGAGAGAGGUAAGUGGAAUUCCGAGUGUAGAGGUGAAAUUCGUAGAUAUUCGGAGGAACACCAGUGGCGAAGGCGGCUUACUGGCUCGAUACUGACGCUGAGGUGCGAAAGUGUGGGGAGCAAACAGGAUUAGAUACCCUGGUAGUCCACACCGUAAACGAUGAAUGCCAGACGUCAGCAAGUAUACUUGUUGGUGUCACACCUAACGGAUUAAGCAUUCCGCCUGGGGAGUACGGUCGCAAGAUUAAAACUCA
This 535-nucleotide ribosomal RNA is filed under the name uncultured Alphaproteobacteria bacterium. Its description in RNAcentral is "bacterial SSU rRNA". It matches the Rfam family "Bacterial small subunit ribosomal RNA", at positions 350 to 903 of the family's 1533-position model. The record is from RNAcentral. Lineage: Bacteria; Pseudomonadati; Pseudomonadota; Alphaproteobacteria.